UAUGCUUGUCCCAAAGCUUAAGCCAUGCAUGCCUACGACGAAGGAGUAAGGUAGCUUGAUCUAGAAUCUGCGAAGGGCUCCAUAUAUCUGUUGUAACCUACCGUCUACGAGCGUGCUUACCCACCCAGGAUAUCUUAGGUAAUUCUUAGGCUAAUACUUAAGAAUACAUGGCCUCCCUGGUAACUUGUGGCCGGGGAGGCCGGGCAAGCCUGUGGACCGACGGUGCCCUGGAGGGCAGUGUUGGAAAGCGAGCUGUGUGCCCCUACAAUGCAACUGAACGACCUAAGAUGUCCCUGCGGUAAGCCACGACGGUCAUCAGACCUAUCAACUAGAGCAAUGGGGCAGGGCCCCAGCUGGUUACAACGGGUACAGAGGAUUAGGGUUCGAUCCUGGAGAGGUAGCCUUAAAGAUCGCUACUACUUCUAAGGAAGGCAGCAGGCGCGCAACGUUCCCCAUGGGGACACCCUGAGGACGUGAAGGGACAUAGCAAUACUGAGCCCCUAAAGGGUUCGGUAAUUGAAAUGGGGGAGAUUCAAACCCCCCACCGAGUAGC
RNAcentral lists this ribosomal RNA (553 nucleotides) under Enteridium corticatum. RNAcentral's name for it is "SSU rRNA". It matches the Rfam family "Eukaryotic small subunit ribosomal RNA", at positions 27 to 545 of the family's 1831-position model. Lineage: Eukaryota; Evosea; Eumycetozoa; Liceales; Reticulariaceae. The record is from RNAcentral.